GCAAGUCGAACGGUAACAGGUCUUCGGAUGCUGACGAGUGGCGAACGGGUGAGUAAUACAUCGGAACGUGCCCGAGAGUGGGGGAUAACGAAGCGAAAGCUUUGCUAAUACCGCAUACGAUCUCAGGAUGAAAGCAGGGGACCGCAAGGCCUUGCGCUCACGGAGCGGCCGAUGGCAGAUUAGGUAGUUGGUGGGAUAAAAGCUUACCAAGCCGACGAUCUGUAGCUGGUCUGAGAGGACGACCAGCCACACUGGGACUGAGACACGGCCCAGACUCCUACGGGAGGCAGCAGUGGGGAAUUUUGGACAAUGGGCGCAAGCCUGAUCCAGCCAUGCCGCGUGCAGGAUGAAGGCCUUCGGGUUGUAAACUGCUUUUGUACGGAACGAAAAGACUCUGGUUAAUACCUGGGGUCCAUGACGGUACCGUAAGAAUAAGCACCGGCUAACUACGUGCCAGCAGCCGCGGUAAUACGUAGGGUGCGAGCGUUAAUCGGAAUUACUGGGCGUAAAGCGUGCGCAGGCGGUUAUGUAAGACAGAUGUGAAAUCCCCGGGCUCAACCUGGGAACUGCAUUUGUGACUGCGUAGCUAGAGUACGGCAGAGGGGGAUGGAAUUCCGCGUGUAGCAGUGAAAUGCGUAGAUAUGCGGAGGAACACCGAUGGCGAAGGCAAUCCCCUGGGCCUGUACUGACGCUCAUGCACGAAAGCGUGGGGAGCAA
RNAcentral lists this ribosomal RNA (717 nucleotides) under uncultured beta proteobacterium. RNAcentral's name for it is "bacterial SSU rRNA". It matches the Rfam family "Bacterial small subunit ribosomal RNA", at positions 57 to 771 of the family's 1533-position model. Lineage: Bacteria; Pseudomonadati; Pseudomonadota; Betaproteobacteria. The record is from RNAcentral.